This 253-nucleotide ribosomal RNA is filed under the name uncultured bacterium. RNAcentral describes it as "partial 16S ribosomal RNA". It matches the Rfam family "Bacterial small subunit ribosomal RNA", at positions 524 to 776 of the family's 1533-position model. The record is from RNAcentral.
UACGAGAGGCCCAAACGUUAUUCGGAAUUACUGGGCUUAAAGAGUUCGUAGGCGGCAUGAAAAGCAGGGUGUGAAAGCCCUCGGCUCAACCGAGGAAUUGCGCUCUGAACUGUCGUGCUUGAGGAACCUAGAGGUGAGCAGAACAGAUGGUGGAGCGGUGAAAUGCGUUGAUAUCAUCUGGAAUACCGGAGGCGAAGGCGGCUCACUGGGGGUUUUCUGACGCUGAGGAACGAAAGCCAGGGCAGCGAACGGG